Molecule: long non-coding RNA, 240 nt
Organism: Sander lucioperca (pikeperch)
Lineage: Eukaryota; Metazoa; Chordata; Actinopteri; Perciformes; Percidae
Exons: 3
Source: RefSeq, a predicted model, not a curated record
UGUGUGGACUACGGCCAUGUGUGACCGUAAACUUCCACUCCGUGUAAAAGAUGUAUUACAAACUGAGCAGCUGAAAGGUUUUUCUCCUGUGUGGAUUCUUAUGUGGUUCUUCAGAUGUGACUUGAAGCCAAAUGAUUUCCCACACUCAGAGCAGCUGAAUGGUUUCUUACGUCUUGAAUCAUGUUUCAGAGAGUUUAAAGCUGACUGAGGUUCUCUGGUCUCCUUCCAAUCAGCACUGUC